GUUUCUGAGGCAGCAGCCAGCGAGAGUGGAGCCCAUAAACAGUCGAAGUCCGAAAGGUAGGAAGGGGAAUCGGAGAGUUGAGCCUUAGAUGACAACGGUAUGUAAAUUUUGUAUCUGUUAUGUCAGUUGUGUGUGCAAGUGGAUUACAAGUGAUUAUACACUUAUACAGUUAUACUGACUUUCCGUCUCAACCAGGCGUUUCUGCACCUUGUAAGAACCAAUGAUUUGCCAUAGGUAAGCCAAUUGCCAGGAAACUGUGUUGACCUCAUGUUCAAUGGACGCAACUUCGAAAAAGUAAGAACGACUAAAAUUGCUUUCGUUUUUUUGAAUAUCUAGAUAUCUGUCAAAUGGAUUUCCCUUCUCUCUUGCUUGGUUAAUUGGUCUGAUGCUGCAUUUAUAAAUAUUUAUAAAUAUUCAACUUUUUUCCGUGACUUAACUCAUUGCUAGAAUCCACAUGAGAUACAUGUAAUUUAUAUAUUUAUUUCUCAAAUUGUUGAAAUAUGUGCUCAGGACUGAUUGGCGCACUUUUAUAUCUAUAUGAUAUGUAAUUUGCAUAAUCUUCAUAGGAACAAAACUUAGUGGAGAUUUAGAACUUCUGUUGCGCUAAAGUAGGUCAGAAAUAGAACAGGCGCGGCCUCACAUCACCAGUAUAACAUGGUUUCUCGAGUGCAUGGUUUGUUUUGCUUCCCACUUUUAAGUUUUGAGUUAGUCCAUGGUUUUAUAAAUUGUUUGCGGUUUGUAUUGGAUAUUUGGAAUGUACACUGUUUGGGGUGUUUGUACUGUAGACCUCCAUCCUCCCCCAGUUACUUACAGGAAGCUCCACUCAUGCAACCUUACAUUCACACACUAUAAUACCACUUCAUAAUUUUAUUUAUAUUAUUAAUAUAAUAUUUAAAAUUUUUAAUAGCCAAAUGCUUCAUCCUACUCUGCUAUGAACCUAUAGACCAUAAUGUGCUUAUAGGUCUCCCCUGGACUUGCAAUUUGUGAAGGGGAAUUCGGCUGAUUCACUGCAUCAGGAAAUCCUUGAGUCUCCAAGCAUAGCCCAGCAUACAGAGGAAGAAGGAUUUGACUGGAAAAAAGAUAAUAAGGUAAUUUUGUUUGCUCUUGUCAAUUAUGUUUGAGGAUAUAUGCAAUUGUUUUGCGUAUUGUGACUGGUACCGAGUUGAGAACCCUAACAAAUGAGCUGUGUAAUUAAUCCCAUAUACUUAUUUGCAUCAAUAUAAUUGUCGGUAGUUGUGUUUAACACUUGAAAUGUAUGAGCAGAUAUAUAAAUUGAAUUAAUUCUAGAUGAGAUUAUGGGAGCAGUUUAUACCAGUGGAGUGCAACUCUAUUCUAAGAAGUAAGAGUUCUAAAUUUUGAACAAAAAUCUAAUAGCUGUAAAAUUUUAUAAAGAUUUUCGGUUUCAGUUUUUGUUGAAUAAAGAGCUUUAUCAUUAUUUCCACGCCAUAGUUACUCAAAUAUCAGAUGUAGAAAAGGAACUUUUUGGCAAACCUCUUGUGGAUGUUAUAUAUCUGUAUAUACAGUGGAAAAACUGUUUUAUCUUUGAUUUCACAAUUUAAGUCAGCUGAUCUGCAUGCUUUGUAACUUCUUAUGUUUAUAGGCAAAGAAGUAUUUAUUAAAACGAAAACUACAGACCAACCUGUAAUAUACAUUAAACUAAUAUUUCCCACUUUUGUACUUCAAAAAAACACGUUCCCUUUUUCAGUCUGGAUGACCGUUUUCAUUGUAAUACACAAAUGCAAGUGAGCUUCUAAUAAGAGAAAGAGAUAGUGUUACAUAUAUAUUAGUAUAUUACUCUUGUCUUUUCUUUUCUUUUUAUAUAAAGUCAGGUGUCCAGUUAAUCAUUCACGGAGCAAUGAACGUAUAGCUUAACUUUUAUGAUUUUUAAUUAAUUGCAUUAUUACUAUACUGUAACAAUUUAUACAUAGAUCAGCUUAAAUGAACUUGAGACUUCUGUGAAAAGUAAUUUAGACAGGGUACUUCCUCCAUUUUUUUCAUAGGUCGUUUGAGUUUUUGAGACUUUAUUGACUAUCUAUUUGAAAUUAUUAUUUUUGCUCUCUUAAAAGUAUACAAUAAUUAUUAUAAUUCUAUAUGCAUCAGGCAUGUCACCUUAAUUUUUGAUCGAAUGAAAGAAGCAAAUUAGAAGAAUAGUUAGAACUGCAAGAAUUCUUUGUUGACUCUUGAUGGCAGUUAUUCUGAGAUACCAAAAGUUAAAGUGAGCUUAUAUACAAUGGCAGUUGGACAAAGUUAUCUGAGUGUCUGAGUAACAAAUAUGAAGUACUAUUUGACCAGAAAAUCUAAGUACACAGCUCAGAUUUGUGGUUUAUUCUAAUUGUUUGGUGUGUAACAUGGUUACAAAGAUGAACAUGGCAAGAAAUCAUUAAUUAAUUAGUCAAAUAUGAUAUAAGUGUUGUAGAAAAUUGAAUAUCAAAAUAGUAAAUGAUUUGUAAAUGUUUAUUGUAGACUACUAUAUAACUUCUACUUCAAAUUUAUAUUGCUUUUACUGAAGUUUCAAGUUUGGUCCAGCGUGUUCUUUUCUAGAUUAUGAUUUACCCAAUUAUGGCUAUGCCUUCCGGAACCUUUUCAUCUUACUUACCUAAUAAUUUCAGCAACAUCCUUUGUUUAAAUUAAAGAUUUUUGGUUUUAGUUUUUGUUUGAAAGAAGUGGAAGGGGAGACUAAAGAUAUGGUGGCUGUGUGUUUUAUUUGGGACAGAAGAAGAAGGAUUUGACUGGAAAAAAGAUGAUGAGGUAAUUUUGUUUGGUCUUGUCAGUAAUGUUGGGGGAUAUAUGCAAUUGUUUUGAGUAUUGUGACUGGUACCAAGUUGAGAACUCUAAAAAAUAGUCCUCCUCGAAUAACUCACAAUUGCUCCUGCUUUCCUAAUUAUUAGUAUGCUUAUUUUUCUGAUACUAAGACCUAUAAAAUGAUAUGAGCGUGAUAUAUGUCCAUGAUUUUACCAUUUAAACAAUCUAUGGGGCUUGAUUUGAACAAUAUGAAUUUAAGUCGGUGUAAUUUUCUACUUAUUUGGACUUGCACUUGCAUUGUUCGACUCCCUUGAUUGUUAUUUUUCAUCACAUGUAUGAUCUUUAAUUCUACUCAUUUAGAUUUAAUUUUUAAACUAUAUUUUGUCUCAGGGUUUUGGAUCUCGAUGUGCAAGACAAGGGUGGCUCCUUCAAUUUGCUUGUGUUCAACUGCUAUAUUGAAUGUUUACCUAAUGCGCCAGUCAAAAAAAAAAUCUCAAAGGGAUGAGUUUAUCUUCUGCUUCUAUAUCUGGAUAAGCACAAAAUGAGUGGACUCAUUCAGAAUUAUGUUGUCGUUAUUUUUAUAUCAGAUUCUAAUUCGCAAAAAAUCUAAGAAAGUCUUGUCUUUACAUCGAGACGUAUUUUGAU
RNAcentral lists this long non-coding RNA (3387 nucleotides) under Daucus carota (carrot). RNAcentral describes it as "long non-coding RNA (DCAR_LNC004927)". Lineage: Eukaryota; Viridiplantae; Streptophyta; Magnoliopsida; Apiales; Apiaceae. The record is from RNAcentral.